Molecule: ribosomal RNA, 491 nt
Filed under: uncultured bacterium
Lineage: Bacteria
Description: partial 16S ribosomal RNA
Rfam family: Bacterial small subunit ribosomal RNA
Source: RNAcentral
AGUGAACGCUGGCGGUAGGCCUAACACAUGCAAGUCGAACGGCAGCACAGUAAGAGCUUGCUCUUACGGGUGGCGGGUGGCGGACGGGUGAGGAAUACAUCGUAAUCUACUUUUUCGUGGGGGAUAACGUAGGGAAACUUACGCUAAUACCGCAUACGACCUACCGGUGAAAGCAGGGGAUCUUCGGACCUUGCGCGAUUGAAUGAGCCGAUGUGGGACUAGCUAGUUGGCGGGGUAACGGCCCACCAAGGCGCCGAUCCGUAGCCGGGCAGGGGGGGUGGUCCGCGACUGUGGAGCUGAGACGCGGCCCAGGGUCCGACGGGCGGCAGCGGUGGGGACUGUUGGACACUGGGCGCAAGCCUGCACCAGGCGUGCAGCGUGGGUGCAGAAGGCCUGCGGGUUGUAAGGCCCUUUGUUGGGAAAGAAAAGCAGCAGCUUGAUACCCCGCUGUUGUGACGGUACCCAAAGAAUAAGCACCGGCUAACUUCGUG